UGGCGGACGGGUGAGUAAUGUCUGGGAAACUGCCUGAUGGAGGGGGAUAACUACUGGAAACGGUAGCUAAUACCGCAUAACGUCGCAAGACCAAAGAGGGGGACCUUCGGGCCUCUUGCCAUCGGAUGUGCCCAGAUGGGAUUAGCUAGUAGGUGGGGUAACGGCUCACCUAGGCGACGAUCCCUAGCUGGUCUGAGAGGAUGACCAGCCACACUGGAACUGAGACACGGUCCAGACUCCUACGGGAGGCAGCUG
This 255-nucleotide ribosomal RNA is filed under the name uncultured bacterium. RNAcentral's name for it is "partial 16S ribosomal RNA". It matches the Rfam family "Bacterial small subunit ribosomal RNA", at positions 96 to 354 of the family's 1533-position model. The record is from RNAcentral.